AUCUAAAAGGACGUAGGGUCUGUUUGGCUUAACUUUUAAAAAAAAUAAUUUCUGAAAAAAAUAAUUUUAGUUUAGAGAAGUGUGAGUUUAGAUAAGAAUGAUUUUUCUAAAGUGAUUUUGAAAAGCUAUUUGGCAAAAAAAUUUUUUGAUGUUUGCGUAAAUUAAUAUUUUUAUUAAAUUUUAUUUUAAAAUAAUUUAAAAUCUAAAUUUAAAUUUGAAUUAAAAUUACAAUUUUUAAAUUUUAAAAUUAUACAAAAUUUAAAAUUUAAUAUUUUAAUUUAAAAAAUUUAAAAUAUAAAAUUUAAAAAUUUAAAAUAAUUAUGAAAUUUAAAAUACAAAAUUUAAAAUUUAAAAAUAUUAAAUAUAAAUUUAAAAAUAUAAAUAGUUAAUGAAAUUUAAAAUAUAAAAUUUUAAUAUUUAAAAAUAUAAAUAUAAAUUUUAAAUUUUAAAAUUAUAAUUAUAAAUUUAAAAUUUAAAAAUUAAAAUUUAAAAUCUUAAAUUUAAAAUUAAAAUUGAAUUCAAAAGUACUUUUUAAAA
Molecule: long non-coding RNA, 537 nt
Filed under: Ananas comosus (pineapple)
Lineage: Eukaryota; Viridiplantae; Streptophyta; Magnoliopsida; Poales; Bromeliaceae
Description: long non-coding RNA (ACOM_LNC025160)
Source: RNAcentral